Molecule: ribosomal RNA, 458 nt
Filed under: uncultured bacterium
Lineage: Bacteria
Description: partial 16S ribosomal RNA
Rfam family: Bacterial small subunit ribosomal RNA
Source: RNAcentral
CCUACGGGUGGCUGCAGUGGGGAAUAUUGCACAAUGGGGGAAACCCUGAUGCAGCGACGCCGCGUGAGUGAAGAAGUACUUCGUUACGUUAAGCUCCAUCAGCAGGGGAGAAAUACUGACCUUACGGUCAGCAGACGGUACCUGCGUAAGAAGCCCCUGCUAACUACGUGGCAGCACCCGCGGUAAUAUGGAGGGGUGAGGCGGUAUCCGGAUUUGCUGGGUGUAAAGGGGGUGUAGAGGGUGCGCCUAGUCUGGAGUGAAAUGGUGCGGCUUAAAUGCGGACCGGCGUUGGAAAAUGGGGAACUAGAGUGGGGGAGGGGUAAGCGGAAUGCGUGGUGUAGCGGUGAAAUGCGUAGAUAUCAGGAAGAACACCGAUGGCGAAGGCGGCGUACCGGCGCGGAACUGACGUUGAAGCUCGAAGGCGUGGGGAGCGAACAGGAUUAGAUACCCUAGUAGUC